This 370-nucleotide ribosomal RNA is filed under the name uncultured organism. Its description in RNAcentral is "bacterial SSU rRNA". It matches the Rfam family "Bacterial small subunit ribosomal RNA", at positions 526 to 896 of the family's 1533-position model. The record is from RNAcentral.
CGAAUGGAGCGAGCGUUGUUCGGAAUCACUGGGCGUAAAGCGUACGUAGGCGGAUUGGAAAGUCAGAAGUGAAAUCCCGGGGCUUAACCCCGGAAUUGCUUUUGAAACUUCCAGUCUGGAGGCUCGGAGAGGUCAGCGGAAUUCCCAGUGUAGAGGUGAAAUUCGCAGAUAUUGGGAGGAACACCAGUUGCGUAGGCGGCUGGCUGGACGAGUACUGACGCUGAGGUACGAAAGCGUGGGGAUCAAACAGGAUUAGAUACCCUGGUAGUCCACGCCGUAAACGAUGUGUGCUAGUUGUCGGGGCCUUUAGGUCUCGGUGACGCAGCUAACGCUUUAAGCACACCGCCUGGGGAGUACGGUCGCAAGAUUA